RNAcentral lists this ribosomal RNA (869 nucleotides) under Apiospora sacchari. RNAcentral's name for it is "eukaryotic LSU rRNA". It matches the Rfam family "Eukaryotic large subunit ribosomal RNA", at positions 43 to 938 of the family's 3401-position model. Lineage: Eukaryota; Fungi; Ascomycota; Sordariomycetes; Amphisphaeriales; Apiosporaceae. The record is from RNAcentral.
UCAAUAAGCGGAGGAAAAGAAACCAACAGGGAUUCCCCUAGUAACGGCGAGUGAAGCGGGAACAGCUCAAAUUUGAAAUCUGGCCCUUGGGUCCGAGUUGUAAUUUGCAGAGGAUGCUUUUGGUGCGGUGCCUUCCGAGUUCCCUGGAACGGGACGCCUUAGAGGGUGAGAGCCCCGUACGGUUGGACACCAAGCCUAUGUAAAGCUCCUUCGACGAGUCGAGUAGUUUGGGAAUGCUGCUCAAAAUGGGAGGUAUAUUUCUUCUAAAGCUAAAUAUUGGCCAGAGACCGAUAGCGCACAAGUAGAGUGAUCGAAAGAUGAAAAGCACUUUGAAAAGAGGGUUAAAUAGCACGUGAAAUUGUUGAAAGGGAAGGAUUUAUGACCAGACUUUUUCUAGGGGGAUCAUCCGGUGUUCUCACCGGUGCACUUCCCCUAGUUGAGGCCAGCAUCGGUUUCUGUCGGGGGAUAAAAGCUUUAGGAAUGUGGCUCCCUCCGGGGAGUGUUAUAGCCUGUUGCAUAAUACCCUGACGGGGACCGAGGUUCGCGCAUUGCAAGGAUGCUGGCGUAAUGGUUAUUAAUCACCCGUCUUGAAACACGGACCAAGGAGUCGAACAUUUGUGCGAGUGUUUGGGUGUUAAACCCUCACGCGUAAUGAAAGUGAACGGAGGUGAGAGCCUUUCGGGGUGCAUCAUCGACCGAUCCUGAUGUCUUCGGAUGGAUUUGAGUAAGAGCAUUAAUGUUCGGACCCGAAAGAUGGUGAACUAUGCGUGGAUAGGGUGAAGCCAGAGGAAACUCUGGUGGAGGCUCGCAGCGGUUCUGACGUGCAAAUCGAUCGUCAAAUCUGCGCAUGGGGGCGAAAGACUAAUCGA